Salarias fasciatus (jewelled blenny) is the source of this 348-nucleotide long non-coding RNA. RefSeq lists it as uncharacterized. The transcript has 3 exons. The record is from RefSeq and is a predicted model, not a curated record. Lineage: Eukaryota; Metazoa; Chordata; Actinopteri; Blenniiformes; Blenniidae.
CGGAGAGGGCGACAGAUAGCUGCGCUGUGAUCACCGGAGCUAGCAGCUUGUUUUUUUUUCACCCCCAAAUUAUUUAUUUAAAACACGCUGACUCGUUUCAUUUGGACUCAAACGUUUUGGGUUCGUAUAGCAUCGUUUUUGUACCGUAAGCGUUUUUUUUAAACGAGGUUUGGCUCAGCUGGAGUUCCGUCUCAACACGUGGUGGAUUUUUCCUGAAGAGUUGAUGUGAAGGAGAGGAAUCGGACCUGUGCAGACUUUAACUUCAGAUCCAAGUUCAAGAGAAGCACCGAAGACAUCAUGUUAAUAUUUUUUUUUUUACUCUAAUAAAAUAAAUAUUUGAUAUAAGUA